AGAAUCAACGCUGGCUGCGUGCCUAACACAUGCAAGUCGAACGCGAAAGUCCCGAAAGGGAUAAGUAGAGUGGCAAACGGGUGAGUAACACGUGGGUGACCUGCCUUCGAGCGGGGGAUAACGUCCCGAAAGGGACGCUAAUACCGCAUAACAUCCUGCCUUUUAAGAGGUGGAGAUCAAAGCCGGGGACCGCAAGGCCUGGCACUUGAAGAGGGGCCCGCGUCUGAUUAGCUAGUUGGUGGGGUAAUGGCCUACCAAGGCAACGAUC
RNAcentral lists this ribosomal RNA (268 nucleotides) under uncultured bacterium. Its description in RNAcentral is "partial small subunit ribosomal RNA". It matches the Rfam family "Bacterial small subunit ribosomal RNA", at positions 26 to 281 of the family's 1533-position model. The record is from RNAcentral.